AAAAAGGCAAAUACUAUGUUUUCGUAUCCAACGUUUGAUUAUCCGUCUUAUAUGAAAAUUUUUUAUAAUUAGUAUUUUCAUUGUUGUUAGAUGAUAAAACAUGAUUAAUACUUUAUGCGUGACUUGUCUUUUUAAUUUUUUUCAUAAUUUUUUUCAAAUAAUACGGACGGCCAAACGUUGGAUACGGAAUCCCAGGUGUGGAGAUUAUA
Non-coding RNA from Oryza barthii, 209 nucleotides. The record is from Rfam. Lineage: Eukaryota; Viridiplantae; Streptophyta; Magnoliopsida; Poales; Poaceae.